UGAUCUGCCUACCAUGGUGAUAACGGGUAACGGGGAAUCAGGGUUCGAUUCCGGAGAGGGAGCCUGAGAAACGGCUACCACAUCCAAGGAAGGCAGCAGGCGCGAAAAUUACCCACUCCCGGCACGGGGAGGUAGUGACGAAAAAUACGAAUACGGGACUCACUCGAGGCUCCGUAAUUCGAAUGAGUACAAUCUAAAUUCUUUAACGAGGACCAAUUGGAGGGCAAGUCUGGUGCCAGCAGCCGCGGUAACUCCAGCUCCAAAAGCGUAUAUUAAAGUUGCUGCAGUUAAAAAGCUCGUAGUUGGAUCUGGGUCGUGCGUUCACAUGUCGUUGCUUGGUUCUGAUCUCGGUUAGUUCCAGGUGAUGGCGAGGUGGUCGCGCAGCCUUUCAGCCGUGUCUGCGUGAGCAGGUGCUGGUUGGCCGGUGGGUUUACUUGCUGGUUAGUCGGCAUGUUUCCUGAUGCCUUUAAACGGGUGUCGGGGGCGUACGGCACUUUUACUUUGAACAAAUUUGAGUGCUCAAAGCAGGCCCAUGUGCCUGAAAAGUCUUGCAUGGAAUAAUGGAAUAGGACUUCGGUUCUAUUUUGUUGGUUUCCGGAUCCGAAGUAAUGGUUAAGAGGAACAGACGGGGGCAUUUGUAUGGCGGCGUGAGAGGUGAAAUUCUAUGAUCGUCGCCAGACAAACUACAGCGAAAGCAUUUGCCAAGAAUGUUUUCAUUGAUCAGGAGCGAAAGUCAGAGUUUCGAAGACGAUCAGAUACCGUCCUAGUUCUGACCAUAAACGAUGCCAACUGACG
Molecule: ribosomal RNA, 795 nt
Filed under: Bolbophorus sp. OCPKBG-2002
Lineage: Eukaryota; Metazoa; Platyhelminthes; Trematoda; Strigeidida; Bolbophoridae
Description: SSU rRNA
Rfam family: Eukaryotic small subunit ribosomal RNA
Source: RNAcentral